AGAGUUUGAUCCUGGCUCAGGAUGAACGCUGGCGGCGUGCUUAACACAUGCAAGUCGAACGAACCUUCGGGUUAGUGGCGGACGGGUGAGUAACGCGUGGGAAUCUGCCCUCAGGAGGGGGAUAACGGUUGGAAACGGCCGCUAAUACCCCAUAUGCCGAGAGGUGAAAUGAAUUUCGCCUGAGGAUGAGCCCGCGUCUGAUUAGCUAGUUGGUGAGGUAAGAGCUCACCAAGGCAUCGAUCAGUAGCUGGUCUGAGAGGAUGAUCAGCCACACUGGGACUGAGACACGGCCCAGACUCCUACGGGAGGCAGCAGUGGGGAAUUUUCCGCAAUGGGCGAAAGCCUGACGGAGCAACGCCGCGUGAGGGAUGAAGGCCUCUGGGCUGUAAACCUCUUUUAUCAAGGAAGAAGAUCUGACGGUACUUGAUGAAUAAGCCACGGCUAAUUCCGUGCCAGCAGCCGCGGUAAUACGGGAGUGGCAAGCGUUAUCCGGAAUUAUUGGGCGUAAAGCGUCCGCAGGCGGCCCUACAAGUCUGCUGUUAAAAAGUGGAGCUUAACUCCAUCAUGGCAGUGGAAACUGUUGGGCUUGAGUGUGGUAGGGGCAGAGGGAAUUCCCGGUGUAGCGGUGAAAUGCGUAGAUAUCGGGAAGAACACCAGUGGCGAAGGCGCUCUGCUGGGCCAUCACUGACGCUCAUGGACGAAAGCCAGGGGAGCGAAAGGGAUUAGAUACCCCUGUAGUCCUGGCCGUAAACGAUGAACACUAGGUGUCGGGGGAAUCGACCCCUCCGGUGUCGUAGCCAACGCGUUAAGUGUUCCGCCUGGGGAGUACGCACGCAAGUGUGAAACUCAAAGGAAUUGACGGGGGCCCGCACAAGCGGUGGAGUAUGUGGUUUAAUUCGAUGCAACGCGAAGAACCUUACCAGGGUUUGACAUCCUGCGAAUCUCUUGGAAACUUGAGAGUGCCUUCGGGAGCGCAGUGACAGGUGGUGCAUGGCUGUCGUCAGCUCGUGUCGUGAGAUGUUGGGUUAAGUCCCGCAACGAGCGCAACCCACGUCUUUAGUUGCCAGCAUUUAGUUGGGCACUCUAGAGAGACCGCCGGUGAUAAACCGGAGGAAGGUGUGGAUGACGUCAAGUCAUCAUGCCCCUUACAUCCUGGGCUACACACGUACUACAAUGCUACGGACAAAGGGCAGCAAGUUCGCGAGGACAAGCAAAUCCCAUAAACCGUGGCUCAGUUCAGAUCGUAGGCUGCAACUCGCCUACGUGAAGGAGGAAUCGCUAGUAAUCGCAGGUCAGCAUACUGCGGUGAAUACGUUCCCGGGCCUUGUACACACCGCCCGUCACACCAUGGAAGUUGGCCACGCCCGAAGCCGUUACUCCAACCCUUGUGGAGGAGGACGUCGAAGGUGGGGCUGAUGACUGGGGUGAAGUCGUAACAAGGUAACC
Molecule: ribosomal RNA, 1446 nt
Filed under: uncultured bacterium
Lineage: Bacteria
Description: bacterial SSU rRNA
Rfam family: Bacterial small subunit ribosomal RNA
Source: RNAcentral